This 252-nucleotide ribosomal RNA is filed under the name Escherichia coli. Its description in RNAcentral is "partial 16S ribosomal RNA". It matches the Rfam family "Bacterial small subunit ribosomal RNA", at positions 507 to 759 of the family's 1533-position model. Lineage: Bacteria; Pseudomonadati; Pseudomonadota; Gammaproteobacteria; Enterobacterales; Enterobacteriaceae. The record is from RNAcentral.
GCCAGCAGCCGCGGUAAUACGUAGGUCCCGAGCGUUGUCCGGAUUUAUUGGGCGUAAAGCGAGCGCAGGCGGUUUUUUAAGUCUGAAGUUAAAGGCAUUGGCUCAACCAAUGUACGCUUUGGAAACUGGAGAACUUGAGUGCAGAAGGGGAGAGUGGAAUUCCAUGUGUAGCGGUGAAAUGCGUAGAUAUAUGGAGGAACACCGGUGGCGAAAGCGGCUCUCUGGUCUGUAACUGACGCUGAGGCUCGAAAG